This 5963-nucleotide long non-coding RNA is filed under the name Heterocephalus glaber (naked mole-rat). Its description in RNAcentral is "lncRNA (ENSHGLG00100047648.1)". The record is from RNAcentral. Lineage: Eukaryota; Metazoa; Chordata; Mammalia; Rodentia; Bathyergidae.
UUUUGUCCUUGGCUCUAUUGAUAUAGUGUAUUACAUUGAUUGAUUUGCGUAUAUUGAACCAUCCCUGCAUCCCUGGGAUGAAUCCCACUUGAUUAGGGUGUAUGAUCUUCUUGGUGAUCUUCUGCAUUCUGUUUGCCAGUAUCUUAUUAAGGAUUUUUGCAUCUAUGUUCAUUAGUGAGAUUGGCCUAUAGUUCUCCUUUUCAGUUGGGUCUUUCUCUGCUUUGGGGAUCAAGGUGAUGCUUGCUUCCAGGAAUGAAUUUGGGAGUAUUGCUUCCCUUUCAAUUUCAUUGAAGAGUUUAAACAGUAGUGUCAGUAGUUCCUCUCUAAAUGUCUUGUAGAAUUCAGCAGUGAAGCCAUCAGGGCCCGGGCUUUUCUUAGUUGAUAAGUUUUUAAUUACAUUUUCAAUUUCAUUCAUUGAUAUUGGGUUGUUCAGAAUUUUUAGGUCUUUUUGUUCAACUUUGGUAAUUCAUAUGUAUCUAGGAUUCUGUCCAUUUCUUCUGUGUUGUCCAUCUUAUUGGCCUAUAGGUUCUGGAAGUAGGUAUUGAUGAUCCUCUGGAUUUCUGCUGGGUCUGUUGUAAUUUCACCCUUUUCAUUCCUAAUUGCAUGGAUUUGGGCCUUUUCUUUCCUUUUUCUGACAAGGUUGGCUAAGGGUUUGUCAAUUUUGUUGAUUCUUUCAAAGAACCAACUCUUGGCUUCAUUGAUUUUUUGUAUCAUUCUCUUAGUCUCCAUUGCAUUGAUUUCUCCUCUGAUCUUCAUAAUUUCCUCCCUUUUAUGAGCCCUGGGGUUGUCCUGUUCUUCUUUUUCUAGAAGCUUGAGGUUCAGCAUCAGGUUGUUUAAUUGGGCUUGUUCUGUUUUCCUAAUAUGUGUAUUCAGUGCUAUGGAUGUCCCUCAUAAGACUGCUUUCAUUGUGUCCCAUAGAUUCCAAUAUGUUGUAUUGUCAUUGUCAUUUAAUUCAAGGAACUGUCUGAUUUCUUCUUGAAUUUCCUCUGUGACCCAUUGGUUAUUCAGAAGUGUGUUGUUCAAUUUCCAUGUGGAUAUGAAUUUUUUGAGUUUCUUUUGCUAUGGAUCUCCAAUUUCACUGCACUAUGGUCUGAUAAUAUACAGGGCAUAACUUCAACUCCUUUGCACUUACUUAAACAUGUUCUAUGUGUGAGUAUGUGGUCUAUUUUUGAGAAUGACCCAUGUGCAGCUGAGAAGAAUGUGUAUUCUGAUUUUGUGGGGUGGAAGACUCUGUAAGCAUCUGUUAAGUUCAUUUGUUCAAGAGUUCGAUUGAGUUCUAGUAUUGCAUUACUUAUUUUUUGUCUAGUUGAUCUAUCUAUUUGUUACAGUGGGGUGUUGAGCUCCCUCCACUUUGGGAGUGGCAUGGUGCCAUCCUGGAAUCCUCUCCUGUGGCAGGAGAUGUGGUAAGGUGAAUGGAACACAUUCUCUUUUUCUUGUGAGCGCUUGUGAGCCAUUUCUGAAGCAUCCUAUUAGCUGGGAGUGGUCAUACCGAGGUCCAGAAACUGUCUCCACUAUGGCAGUGGCCUGGUGCCAGCCAGGAAUCCUGCCUGGUUGCAGGAUAUGCGGUAAGGUAGACCAAACACAUUCUCUUUUUUCCUGUGAGUGAUUCUGUGCCAUUUCUGAAGCAUCUCACUAAGUAGAAGCAGCCGUAUGGCAGAACGGAUGCCACAUUGAGUAUGGGAGCAGUGUGCUGCCAUCCCAGAAUCCUCCCCCGUGGCAGGAGAUGUGGUAAGGUGGAUCGAGCACAUUCUCUUUUUUCCUGUGAGUGCUUGUGAACCAUUUCCAAACCAUCCCAUUAGAUAGGAGCUGCCAUCAGUGGCCCCAAAUCCACCUCCAUUAUUGGAGCAGUGUGGUGAUAGGCCAGAAUCCUCCCCCAUGGCAGGAAAUGUGGUAAGGUAGAUCAAAUGCAUUCUCUUUUUUCCUCUGAGUGGUUCUGAGCCACUUUGGGAGCAUCAUAUUUGCUGGGAGCAGCCAUACGGUGGCCCAAUGCCCCCCUGCACUAACAGGAGCGGCGUGGUGCCAUCCAGAAAUGUAGCCCCAUGGCAGGAGAUGUGGCAAGGUGGACUGAUCACAUUCUCUUUUUUCUUGUGUGUGGUUCUGAGACAUUUCAGAAGCAUCCCAUUAGCUGGGAGCAUCCGUACAGUGGGCCGGAAUUGGCCUCCACUAUGGGAGCAGAGUGGUGUCAGGCCAAAUUCCUCCCCCAUGGCAGGAGAUGUGUUAAGGUAGAUUGAACACAAUCUCUUUUUUCCUGUGAGCGGUUCUGAGUUACUUUGGAAGUAUCCAAUUAGCUGGUAUCUGCCAUACCCUUGCCCGGAAGCCGCCUACAGUACAGGAAUGGGGUGGUGCCAUCCCAAAAUAUUCCCCUGUGCCUGGAUAUGUGGUAAGUUAGAUCCAAUGCAAUAUCUUUUUUCCUGUGAGUGUUUCUGAGCCAUUUCAGAUGCAUCCCACUAGCUGGGAGCGGCCCUACAUUGGCCGGGCAGCCACCUCCACAAAGGGAACAGCAUGGUGCCAUCCCAAAAUAUUCCCCGUGGCAGGAGAUGUGAUAAGAUGGAUGGAACGAAUUCUCUUUUUUUCUGUGAGUGUUUCUGAGCCAUUUUGGAAGCAUCCCAUUAACUCUGAUCAUUGGUACAUUGGCCCAAAUGCUGCCUCCACUAUAGGAGUGGCAUGGUGCCAUGCCAGAAUCCUCCCUUGUCGCAGCAAAUUUGGUAAGGUAGAUCAAUCACAUUUUCUUUCUUCCUGUGAGCCAUUCUGAGUCAUUUUGGAAGCAUCCCAUUAGCUGGGCACGGUCGUACAGUGGCCCAGAAUCACCCUCCACUUCGGAAGCGGCAUGGUGCCAUCCAGAAAUAUUCCCCCAUGGCAGGAGAUGUGAUAAGGUGGAUCGAACGCAUUCUCAUUUUUCCUUUGAGUGGUUUGGAGACAGUUCAGAAGCAUCCCAUUACCUAGGAGUGCUGUAUGGUGCCACGGAAGCUGCCUCAAUUACAGGAGCAGAAUGGGGCCAACCCAGAAUUAACCACCAUGGCUUGAGAUGUCAUAUGGUAUACCAAAAGCAUUCUCUUUUUUCCUGUGAGCAGUUCCAAGUCAUUUCACAAGCAUCCCAUUAGCUGGGAGAGGCCAUACUGUGGCCUGGAAGCCACCUCCAAUAUGGGAGCAGCUUGGUGCCAUGCCAGAAUCAUCCCCCUUGGCAGGAGAUGUGGUAAUGUAGAUCAAAUGCAUUGUCUUUUUUCCUGUGAGUGGUUCUGAGCCAUUUUGGAAGCAUCCAAUUAGAUGGGAGAGGCCUUAUGUCAACCUGGAAUGUGCCUCAAUUACGGGCACAUGGUGUUGCCAGGCCAGAAUCUUCCCCCAUGGCAGAAAAUGUGGCAAGGCAUAUCAAAUGCAUUCCCUUUAUUCCCAUGAGCUGUUCUGAGCCAUUUUGAAACAUCCCUUUAGCUGGGAGCAGCCGUAUGGUGGCUCAGAAUCCACCUCCACUAUGGUAGCAGUAAGGUGCCUUGCCACAAUCCUCCUCCAUGGCAGGAGAUGUAAGGUAGAUUGAAAGCAAUCUCUUUUUUCCUGUGACUGGUUCUGAGCCAUUUUGGAAGCAUUGUAUUAUAUGGGGGCGGCCAUUUGUUGGCACAUAAGUGGCCUCCACAUCUGGAGCAGGCUGGUGCCCUCCUGAAAUAUUCCCCUGGGGCAGGAGAUGUACUAAGGUGGAUCUAAUACAUUAUCUUUUAUGCUGUGUAUGGUUCUGAGCCAUUUCAGAACCAUCCUAUUAGUUGUGAGCAUUGGUACAAUGGCCUGGAAGCCGCCUCCACUGUGGGACUGGCAUGGUGCCAGGGCAGAAUCCUCCCCUGUGGCAGAAGAUGUGGUAAAGUGGAUUGAACGGAUUCUCUUUUUUAGUGUGAGUGGGUCUGAGACAUUUUGGAUGCAUCCCAUUAGCUGGGAGCGGCCAUAUGUUGGCCUGGAAGCCCCCUCCAGUAUGGGAGCAGCAUGGUGCCAACCCAAAAUAUUCCCACAUGGCAGAAGAUGUGUUAAGGUGCAUGGAACACAUUCUCUUUUUUCCUCUGAGCAGUUCUGAGCCAUUUUGGAAGCAUCCCAUUAGCUGUGAGCAUAGGUACAGUGACCCAGAAGCCACUUCCACUAUGGGAGCAGCGUGGUGCCAGCCCAGAAUCCUCCCCGUGGCAGGAGAUAUGGUGUGGAUUGAGUACAUUCUUUUUUUCCUGUAUGUGGUUUUGAGCUACUUCAGAAGCAUCCCAUUAGCUAGGAAUGGCUGAAUGAUGGCCCAGAGGCCGCAUACAUUAUGGGAGUGGAGUGGCACCACCCCAGACUCAACCUCCAUGGCAGGAGAUAUAGUACAGUGGACAGAAAGCAUUCUCAUUUCUGAUGAGGGUUCUGGGCCAUUUCCUGGGCAUCAUAUUAGCUGUGAGCAUUGGAAUGGCAGGCCUGAUCCACCUCCAUUAUGGGAGCAGCAUAGUGCCAGCCCAGAAUCCUCCCCCGUGGCAGGAGAUGUGGUAACGUGUAUCAAAUGCAUUCUCUUUUAUCCUUUGUGGGGUUCUGAGCCAUUUUGGAAGCAUCCUGUUAGCUGUGAGCAGCCCCUCAGUGGCACGUAACCUGCCUCCAGUUUGGGAGCAGACUGGUGCCAUCCCGAAAUAUCCUGUGGCAGGAGAUGUGAUAAGGUGGAUCUAACGCAUUAUCAUUUUUCCUGUGAGUGGUUCUGAGCCAUUUCAGAAGCAUCCCAUUAGCUGUGAGCAUCGGUAAGUUGGCCCAGAAGCCGCCUCCACUAUGGGACUGGGGUGGUGCCAGGGCAGAAUCUGCCCCUGUGGGAGGAGGUGGGGUAAGCUAGAUCGAAUGCAUUCUCUUUUUCCCUGUGAGUCGUUCUGAGUCUUUUUGGAAGUAUCUAAUUAGCUGGGAGUGGGCUUAUGGCAAACUAGAAUGUGCCUCCAUUAUGGGAGCAGGGUGGUGCCAGCCCAGGAUCCUCCGCUAUGGCAGGAAAUGUGGCAAGGUAGAUCGAACCCAUUCUCUUAUUUUCUGUGAGUGGUUCUGAGCCAUUUCAGAUGCAGAUGCAUCCCAUUAGCUGGGAGUGGCUGUAUGGUGGUCUGGGAGAGGACUGCAUUACAGGAGAGGCAUGAUGCCAUCCGGAAAUAUUCCCCCAAGGAAGGAGAUGUGGGAAGGUGAAUGGAACGCAUUCUCUUUUUCCCUGUGAGUUAUUUUGAGCCAUUUCAGAAGCAACCAAUUAGCUGUGAUCAAAGGUACAGUGGCCCAGAAGCCGCCUCCACUAUGGGAGCAGCAUAGUGCCAUGCCAGAAUCCUCCUGCAUGGCAGGAAAUUUGGUAAGGUAGAUCGAAUGCAUUCUCUUUUUUCAUGUGAGUGGUUCUGAGCCAUUUUGGAAGCAUCCCAUUAGCUGGGAGCGGCUAUACGGUGGCCCAGAAUCCAUCUCCACUACGGGAGCAGCGUUUUGCCAUUCUGAAAUAUUCCCCUGUGCCAGGAGAUGUGGUAAGUUAGAUUGAAAGCAAUAUUUUUUUUCCUGUUAGUGGUUCUGAGCCAUUUCAGAAGCAUCCAAUUAGCUGGGAGUGGCCUUAUGGCAACCUGGAAUGUGCCUCCAUUACUGGAGCAUGGUUGUGGCAGCACAGAAUCCUCCUCUGUUGCAUUAAAUGUGGUAAGGUACAUGGAAUGCAUUCUCUUUUUCCCUGUGAGCAUUUCUGAGACAUUUUGGAAGAAUCCAAUUAGCUGUGAGCACCGAUACGGUGGCCUGGAAUCUGCCUCCACUAUGGGACUGGCAUGGUGCCAUGCCAGAAUCCUCCCCCAUGGCAGGAAAUGUGGUAAGGUAGAUCUAAUGCAUUCUCUUUUUUCCUGUGAGGGUUUUUGAGACAUUUUGGGAGCAUCCCAUUUGCUGGGAGUGGCCAUAUGGUCACCCAGAUGCCCCCUGCACUAAGGGAGCAGCAUGGUGCAUCCAGAAAUAUACUCCCAUUGCAGGAGAUGUGGAAAGGUGGA